GUCCUGGAUAGCUCAGUUGGUUAGAGCGUUGUGCUAAUAAUGCCAAGGUUGCAGGUUCAAUACCUGUAUGAGAUA
This 75-nucleotide transfer RNA is filed under the name Podarcis lilfordi (Lilford's wall lizard). Its description in RNAcentral is "tRNA.Ile". The stretch from base 9 to 67 matches the Rfam family "tRNA", at positions 8 to 63 of the family's 71-position model. From Rfam's summary of the family: Transfer RNA (tRNA) molecules are approximately 80 nucleotides in length. Lineage: Eukaryota; Metazoa; Chordata; Lepidosauria; Squamata; Lacertidae. The record is from RNAcentral.